UAACUUAUGUCCAACAUGGAACAACUCUCUCAAGUGAUUAAUCACAAAAAGGGGGAGAAAAAGAGGCAUAGAAAAAGGUAGAGUAAGAGGCAUUCAAGAAAGGGCAAGGAGAGCAAAAGCAAACAAAUCAAGAAGACAAAGAAGAAGAUGGUUCAUCAUCUGAGGGGGGGAGCCAAAGGAUGAUGAGCCUAAGACUGAGGGGGAGCCAGAAGAAGAGGAGAAAGAGGAGCAAACAAAUCAAACAGAUGAGUAGCUGAUCAACAGACAUCCUGGAAACAUACAUGGAGCCAAAGAGGUACAUCUCUAAUUAGUUAGGUAUGUUCUGGAUCCAGG
RNAcentral lists this long non-coding RNA (333 nucleotides) under Panax ginseng (ginseng). Its description in RNAcentral is "long non-coding RNA (PGIN_LNC015004)". Lineage: Eukaryota; Viridiplantae; Streptophyta; Magnoliopsida; Apiales; Araliaceae. The record is from RNAcentral.